UACGGAGGGUGCGAGCGUUUGUCCGGAAUCAUUGGGCGUAAAGGGCGCGUAGGUGGCCUGGUCAGCGUGCGGUGAAAGCUCGGGGCUCAACCCCGAGUCGGCCGUGCGAACUGCUGGGCUGGAGCACUGUAGAGGCAGGCGGAAAUUCCGGGUGUAGCGGUGGAAUGCGUAGAGAUCCGGAAGAACACCGGUGGCGAAGGCGGCCUGCU
Molecule: ribosomal RNA, 209 nt
Filed under: uncultured bacterium
Lineage: Bacteria
Description: partial 16S ribosomal RNA
Rfam family: Bacterial small subunit ribosomal RNA
Source: RNAcentral